UACGGAGGAUGCAAGCGUUAUCCGGAAUGAUUGGGCGUAAAGCGUCCGCAGGUGGCUAUGUAAGUCUGCUGUUAAAGAGUGAGGCUCAACCUCAUAAGAGCAGUGGAAACUACAUGGCUAGAGUGCGUUCGGGGCAGAGGGAAUUCCUGGUGUAGCGGUGAAAUGCGUAGAUAUCUGGAGGAACACCGGUGGCGAAGGCGACAUCCUGGACCGGUAUUGACGCUGAGGCGCGAAAGCCAGGGGAGCAAACGGG
This 253-nucleotide ribosomal RNA is filed under the name uncultured bacterium. RNAcentral describes it as "partial 16S ribosomal RNA". It matches the Rfam family "Bacterial small subunit ribosomal RNA", at positions 524 to 776 of the family's 1533-position model. The record is from RNAcentral.